AGGGACUAGAACCUCCAGCAACCGAAAGAAAUGGCUGGGAAGGUUGGAAAACCACAGACACCAGAGAAAAAGAGGAAAGUAUGGGCCCCUGUGUUAAGUGCUGCGGAGAGCAAGGAGGAGGAGGACUGGGAAGAGACCACUGUUUUAACUGACUGACUCAGAGGUCAUGCCAGGAUGGCCACUGGCAGCCUCACACCUACAUCAGCAUUAUUGCAGGAGCCUGAAGGAAAAGAGAAGGACGAGCCAAGAAGGGCCAAAGAAGGAGCUUGCUGAGCCACGAGGCUAGCACGUACAAAGACCUUGCAACAGAAAACCGGGCAGUGACAUGGUCUGAAUUACUCUACGAGAUCACUCCAGCUCCAUGGUUCUCGACUGGGGAUGGAUAAGGUGGUGGAGCAGAGCCACCAUCCUCCUGGAGGCACAUCUGGAAUGAUCUCAUGCACCCUAUAGCAAAUGAAGAAGGAGGAGGGAGAGCAGGAAAGAAAAAGAAAAGGAGACAAUGAUGAUGACUACAACUUCAACAACAAAGAAGAAGCCAUUUGUGGUCAGAAGAUGCCAGUGACAGGAAGAGGGAGGCUGCUACAGCCAUGUGGUGUUGCCUGCACAGAAACUGUUUUUCUCUGAAAGCAUAGAAGACUAAUGUCCUGGAAAUAGCAUCAGGAAAUGAAUAGGUUGCCGAUGUCACGAUACAUAAGCAGACACUUUAAAGUUGUCAUGGAGAAGUUGUGUCUUAGGGGAUGGCGAGGCUUGAAUUGAACCUAGAAAGUGACUAAGGUGAUAAGGCCUGUGGGCUUACUACUACGGAAUGGGAAUUGCAGAAGUCUCAGUGGGAGGACUGAGGCAAAGGAGAGAUGCCUAGUGGCACAUCAGACCCCACGUGAGGGAGAGUACCUAGAGCUACUGCCACCAAGAGAGGACAGAAAACAAAAGGGGUUCUGCUUAAGGGAUGUCAGGCCUGCGGAGAUCAGUGUCCAGAGUGAGUAGGUGGUAUCCUGCAUUAAUUUUAAUUUGGCAAUUCAGUUUGAGAGCUGGCAAAGAGGUUAAUGAAUUCUCAGGUCCUUUACACAGUAAACAGCAUCAAUCUCUGGAGGCUGGGAGGCCUUUCCCUAACUACAAAAGGGGCCGUCCCUCUUCCCCUAAUCCCAACUCCCCAAAGCCCCUACAUGACUCUGUUGUCUUUGAUCCCCAUUGAGACAAGCCGUGGAUAUAAUUGGACUGGGCAAUUUGGUAUUCCCAAUAGCAUUCAGUACUGACUUUCUUAUUCACUUUACUCCCUCUUACUUGGCACUGCCUGGAGGAAGAACUCAACAAGAAGGAAAAGGAUUCACCUCCUAACUGAUCUUGACAGCUCCAGCCUCUCCUUUCAGCUGUCCCAUAUAGGGCUUGCCAAGUUCAGAUUCAUGGUUCUCAAAGCGGGGUGAAACCCCAAGGAAUACUUGAGAUAAAACACUGUGGCUAUGGUGAGAAAAUGUUGGAUAGCUAUUUUUAUUUAUUUUUAUCUACAAAGAGAGAAAUUAAGCUUUGCUAAUAUUUAACAUGUCAAAUUUUAGUAUAAGUACAUAUAAUUAAUUAUAUUUACACAUGUUGGUGACGUAUUAAUAUGCAUAUUUUAAUAAACAUUUUGUUACUAAUAGGGUACAUGGUGAAAAAUUUAAAACCACUGUUUGUGGGAUGAAGUCCAGAUUCUUUAAAAAUUUUUUUUAAUUUUUAAACAUUUAAAUUACCAUACACAUCAUUCUUGUGUAUAUUAUUUUUUUUCACCAAGCCUCUGCACUAUCCCUGCCUUCUAUAGUCUCUGAUAGUACACUCGACAACAUCUUCCAAUCUUUCUGCUUCUGUUAUGAAGUGAAGACAUUUGGUAUUUAUUGGUAUUUAUUUAUCAUGCUAUGUCUGUCUUUUACAGUCUGGCUGGCUUCAGUUAGCAUUAAAUCUUCUAUAUUUAUCCACUUUGUAUCAAAUGACAAGAUCUCAUUUUUCUGAUGGCUAACUAGUAUUCUGUAGUGUGUAUCUGCCACAUUUUUUUCUAUCCACUCAUUCA
This is a long non-coding RNA of Tupaia belangeri chinensis (Chinese tree shrew), 2038 nucleotides long. RefSeq lists it as uncharacterized. NCBI's taxonomy places the organism in Eukaryota, Metazoa, Chordata, Mammalia, Scandentia, Tupaiidae. The record is from RefSeq and is a predicted model, not a curated record. The transcript has 4 exons.